GGUGUGGUAGUUCAGUUGGUUAGAAUACCGGCCUGUCACGCCGGGGGUCACGGGUUCAAGUCCCGUCCGCACCGCAA
RNAcentral lists this transfer RNA (77 nucleotides) under Candidatus Riesia pthiripubis. RNAcentral describes it as "tRNA-Asp". It matches the Rfam family "tRNA". Rfam says of the family: Transfer RNA (tRNA) molecules are approximately 80 nucleotides in length. Their secondary structure includes four short double-helical elements and three loops (D, anti-codon, and T loops). Further hydrogen bonds mediate the characteristic L-shaped molecular structure. tRNAs have two regions of fundamental functional importance: the anti-codon, which is responsible for specific mRNA codon recognition, and the 3' end, to which the tRNAs corresponding amino acid is attached (by aminoacyl-tRNA synthetases). tRNAs cope with the degeneracy of the genetic code in two manners: having more than one tRNA (with a specific anti-codon) for a particular amino acid; and 'wobble' base-pairing, i.e. permitting non-standard base-pairing at the 3rd anti-codon position. The record is from RNAcentral. RNAcentral also lists the same sequence under 1 other name. Lineage: Bacteria; Pseudomonadati; Pseudomonadota; Gammaproteobacteria; Enterobacterales; Enterobacteriaceae.